GGGUGGGGUGGGGGGAAGAGGUCCUGUAAAACCGAAAAAAAAGAAGAGGGAUGCAAACUGUCCUGGACUAACAUUUCAAAGAAAAUAAGAGAUCAUACUAAACAAAAACAACCACAACAACAAAACUGGCUGGAGUUUCAGUGAUGCUGAGUUGGGAACGACUUCCAUCCAUUCUAUAUGAUUGGUAAGACAAGGGAAGCUCACCCUUAGAACGCAGCCACCACGUGGUGAGGAAUCCCAGGCUACCUAGUGAGUCUUCAUGUAGAUACUCCAGCUGAGACUAGCCAACGUCCUAGCCAAAGGCCAGCCUCAACAGCCAAACACGUGCAUGAACAAGCCUUUAGAUGAUUCUAGUCUCCAGCUUCCAGUUAUGCCAGCUGAUGCCAAAAGAAGAAGAAAUGAGUUGCCCUACUCUGCUGUGCCUAAAGAUUGGUGAACAAGAUAAAUGCUGUUUUGAACUUCCAGGUGUUGAGGUAGCCUAUAAUGCAGCAGUAAAUUGCUACCACAGAUACUGAUACUAAAAAUGGUGUGCUGCUAUUCAA
Molecule: long non-coding RNA, 542 nt
Organism: Prionailurus viverrinus (fishing cat)
Lineage: Eukaryota; Metazoa; Chordata; Mammalia; Carnivora; Felidae
Exons: 3
Source: RefSeq, a predicted model, not a curated record